RNAcentral lists this small RNA (475 nucleotides) under Pongo abelii (Sumatran orangutan). RNAcentral describes it as "retained intron". Lineage: Eukaryota; Metazoa; Chordata; Mammalia; Primates; Hominidae. The record is from RNAcentral.
CUAUUACUAUGAUUAUGACUAUUUGCUUUUGACUUUACCCCUCAGGGUCCAAGUUGUUUGCUUCGCUGGGCAGCCCCAGAGGUCAUUGCACAUGGAAAGCAUACAACAUCCAGUGAUGUCUGGAGCUUUGGGAUACUCAUGUGGGAAGUGAUGAGUUAUGGAGAACGGCCUUACUGGGACAUGAGUGAGCAGGAGGUACUAAAUGCAAUAGAGCAGGAGUUCCGGCUGCCCCCGCCUCCAGGCUGUCCUCCUGGAUUACAUCUACUUAUGUUGGACACUUGGCAGAAGGACCGUGCCCGGCGGCCUCAUUUUGACCAGCUGGUGGCUGCAUUUGACAAGAUGAUCCGCAAGCCAGAUACCCUGCAGGCUGGCAGGGACCCAGGGGAAAGGCCUUCCCAGGCCCUUCUGACCCCUGUGGCCCUGGACUUUCCUUGUCUGGACUCACCCCAGGCCUGGCUUUCAGCCAUUGGACUGG